RNAcentral lists this ribosomal RNA (450 nucleotides) under uncultured organism. RNAcentral describes it as "partial 16S ribosomal RNA". It matches the Rfam family "Bacterial small subunit ribosomal RNA", at positions 331 to 799 of the family's 1533-position model. The record is from RNAcentral.
GUACACUCCUGCGGGAGGCAGCAGUGGGGAAUAUUGGACAAUGGGCGCAAGCCUGAUCCAGCCAUGCCGCGUGAGUGAUGAAGGCCCUAGGGUUGUAAAGCUCUUUCACCGGUGAAGAUAAUGACGGUAACCGGAGAAGAAGCCCCGGCUAACUUCGUGCCAGCAGCCGCGGUAAUACGAAGGGGGCUAGCGUUGUUCGGAUUUACUGGGCGUAAAGCGCACGUAGGCGGACUAUUAAGUCAGGGGUGAAAUCCCGGGGCUCAACCCCGGAACUGCCUUUGAUACUGGUAGUCUUGAGUUCGAGAGAGGUGAGUGGAAUUCCGAGUGUAGAGGUGAAAUUCGUAGAUAUUCGGAGGAACACCAGUGGCGAAGGCGGCUCACUGGCUCGAUACUGACGCUGAGGUGCGAAAGCGUGGGGAGCAAACAGGAUUAGAUACCCCGGUACCCAUG